This 515-nucleotide ribosomal RNA is filed under the name uncultured bacterium. Its description in RNAcentral is "partial 16S ribosomal RNA". It matches the Rfam family "Bacterial small subunit ribosomal RNA", at positions 28 to 523 of the family's 1533-position model. The record is from RNAcentral.
GAUGAACGCUGGCGGCGUGCCUAAUACAUGCAAGUCGAGCGAAUGGAUUAAGAGCUUGCUCUUAUGAAGUUAGCGGCGGACGGGUGAGUAACACGUGGGUAACCUGCCCAUAAGACUGGGAUAACUCCGGGAAACCGGGGCUAAUACCGGAUAACAUUUUGAACCGCAUGGUUCGAAAUUGAAAGGCGGCUUCGGCUGUCACUUAUGGAUGGACCCGCGUCGCAUUAGCUAGUUGGUGAGGUAACGGCUCACCAAGGCAACGAUGCGUAGCCGACCUGAGAGGGUGAUUGGCCACGCUGGGACUGAGACAUGGCCCAGACUCCUACGGGAGGCAGCAGUAGGGAAUCUUCCGCAAUGGACGAAAGUCUGACGGAGCAACGCCGCGUGAGUGAUGAAGGCUUUCGGGUCGUAAAACUCUGUUGUUAGGGAAGAACAAGUGCUAGUUGAAUAAGCUGGCACCUUGACGGUACCUAACCAGAAAGCCACGGCUAACUACGUGCCAGCCGCCGCCGUAA